Molecule: ribosomal RNA, 253 nt
Filed under: uncultured bacterium
Lineage: Bacteria
Description: partial 16S ribosomal RNA
Rfam family: Bacterial small subunit ribosomal RNA
Source: RNAcentral
UACGGAGGAUGCAAGCGUUAUCCGGAAUGAUUGGGCGUAAAGCGUCCGCAGGUGGCAUUGUAAGUCUGCUGUUAAAGAGUGAGGCUUAACCUCAUAAAAGCAGUGGAAACUACAAAGCUAGAGUGCGUUCGGGGCAGAAGGAAUUCCUGGUGUAGCGGUGAAAUGCGUAGAGAUCAGGAAGAACACCGGUGGCGAAGGCGUUCUGCUAGGCCGCAACUGACACUGAGGGACGAAAGCUAGGGGAGCGAAUGGG